UACGAAGGGGGCUAGCGUUGCUCGGAAUCACUGGGCGUAAAGCGCACGUAGGCGGGUCCUUAAGUUGGGGGUGAAAUCCUGGAGCUCAACUCCAGAACUGCCUUCGAUACUGAGGAUCUCGAGUCCGGGAGAGGUGAGUGGAACUCCGAGUGUAGAGGUGAAAUUCGUAGAUAUUCGGAAGAACACCAGUGGCGAAGGCGGCUCACUGGCCCGGUACUGACGCUGAGGUGCGAAAGCGUGGGGAGCAAACAGG
Molecule: ribosomal RNA, 253 nt
Filed under: uncultured bacterium
Lineage: Bacteria
Description: partial 16S ribosomal RNA
Rfam family: Bacterial small subunit ribosomal RNA
Source: RNAcentral